GAUAAGCGCUGGCGGCGUGCCUAACACAUGCAAGUCGAACGUCCUCUCUCGCAAGAGAGAGGGAGUGGCGGACGGGUGAGUAACACAUGGGUCACCUACCCUUAAGUGAGGAAUACCGGCGAGAAAUCGCCGACAAGACCGCAUAGGCUCUCUCUUUUGCAAGAGAGAGCAAAGCUUCGCAAGAGGCGCUUGAGGAUGGGCCUGUGGCCGAUUAGCUGGNGGUAGGGUAAUGGCUUACCAAGGCGACGAUCGGUAGCUGGUCUGAGAGGACGAUCAGCCACACUGGGAUUGAGAACGGCCC
RNAcentral lists this ribosomal RNA (301 nucleotides) under uncultured bacterium. RNAcentral's name for it is "bacterial SSU rRNA". It matches the Rfam family "Bacterial small subunit ribosomal RNA", at positions 28 to 332 of the family's 1533-position model. The record is from RNAcentral.